UACGUAGGGUGCGAGCGUUAAUCGGAAUUACUGGGCGUAAAGCGUGCGUAGGCGGUUCGUUAAGUUCGUUGUGAAAGCCCCGGGCUCAACCUGGGAACUGCAAUGGAAACUGGCGGGCUUGAGUGUGGCAGAGGGGGGUGGAAUUCCGCGUGUAGCAGUGAAAUGCGUAGAGAUGCGGAGGAACACCAACGGCGAAGGCAGCUCGCUGGGACGGAACUGACGCUAAGGCGCGAAAGCGUGGGGAGCGAACAGG
RNAcentral lists this ribosomal RNA (253 nucleotides) under uncultured bacterium. RNAcentral describes it as "partial 16S ribosomal RNA". It matches the Rfam family "Bacterial small subunit ribosomal RNA", at positions 524 to 776 of the family's 1533-position model. The record is from RNAcentral.